RNAcentral lists this ribosomal RNA (124 nucleotides) under Pteropus alecto (black flying fox). Lineage: Eukaryota; Metazoa; Chordata; Mammalia; Chiroptera; Pteropodidae. The record is from RNAcentral.
GUCUACGGCCAUGCCACCCUGAACGUGUCCGAUCCCGUCUCAUCUCGGAAGCUAAGCAGGGUCGGGCCUGGUUAGUGCCUGGAUGGGAUGGGAGACUACCCAGGAAUACCAGGAGCUGUAGGCA